This 463-nucleotide ribosomal RNA is filed under the name uncultured bacterium. RNAcentral's name for it is "SSU rRNA". It matches the Rfam family "Bacterial small subunit ribosomal RNA", at positions 26 to 518 of the family's 1533-position model. The record is from RNAcentral.
AGGAUUAACGCUGGCGGCGUGCCUAACACAUGCAAGUCGAACGAGGUAGCAAUACCCAGUGGCAGACGGGUGAGUAGCGCGUGGUCAACCUACCGUUGAGUGGGGGAUAACUAGCCGAAAGGUUAGCUAAUACCGCAUACGUCUCCGAGGGGCAUCCCUUGGCGAUAAAAGGAGCAAUCCGCUCGAUGACGGGACCGCGUCCCAUUAGCUAGUUGGUGGGGUAACGGCCUACCAAGGCAUCGAUGGGUAGCUGGUUUGAGAGAGCGACCAGCCACACUGGGACUGAGAUACGGCCCAGACUCCUACGGGAGGCAGCAGUGAGGAAUUUUCCGCAAUGGGCGAAAGCCUGACGGAGCGACGCCGCGUGUGGGAAGAAGGCCUUCGGGUCGUAACCACUGUCGAAGGGAAGAUAAUGACGGUACCCUUGGAGGAAGCCCCGGCUAACGUACGUGCCAGCAGCCGC